CCUUCGCGGAGGCUGAAAAAUCCACCCCCCCCCAAUUUUUCUCAGUCUUCUUUCGAAUUGGAAACGGUACGGAUGAGAUGCGAGCUUCACUUUCUCAAUUAGGCAACAUAUUGCCCAUUCCGAAGCUCUUCAGGCAAUUGGAGCAAGAAAUGGAAACCGUAAUCAAGGUGUUACAACCUGGACCCCUGGGGAUUACGGAGCACAAAUUAUAGGCUGAAGAAAUUCGCGAGGCAAACGCUACUGUUCGUAGAGCCGUCGAAAAUUGGCGGAGGAAUGCAAUUGUAGAACAAAGAAACGGGGUUUUGAAAGAUUACAUUCACAGGUAAAAAAUCAUCAUGCGGCUGUGUUAUUUUCAGUGUGCGAUUGAUAGAAGGAACUUUGAAGAGAAUGUUAAAAGUAAAAAGUUCUGCUUGAUGUUUAUCUUGUUAUGUAGACUUUGCUCUCAGUUCUGAAUAAAGUUAACCAAUUUUCCUUU
Molecule: long non-coding RNA, 475 nt
Organism: Hibiscus syriacus
Lineage: Eukaryota; Viridiplantae; Streptophyta; Magnoliopsida; Malvales; Malvaceae
Exons: 2
Source: RefSeq, a predicted model, not a curated record